RNAcentral lists this ribosomal RNA (301 nucleotides) under uncultured bacterium. Its description in RNAcentral is "partial 16S ribosomal RNA". It matches the Rfam family "Bacterial small subunit ribosomal RNA", at positions 509 to 809 of the family's 1533-position model. The record is from RNAcentral.
CAGUAGCCGCGGGAAUACGUAGGUGGCAAGCGUUGUCCGGAAUUAUUGGGCGUAAAGCGCGCGCAGGCGGAUAGGUCAGUCUGUCUUAAAAGUUCGGGGCUUAACCCCGUGAUGGGAUGGAAACUGCCAAUCUAGAGUAUCGGAGAGGAAAGUGGAAUUCCUAGUGUAGCGGUGAAAUGCGUAGAUAUUAGGAAGAACACCAGCGGCGAAGGCGACUUUCUGGACGAAAACUGACGCUGAGGCGCGAAAGCCAGGGGAGCGAACGGGAUUAGAUACCCCUGUAGUCCCUGUCUCUUAUACA